AUGUCUGUGGCUCCACACUUCAAUCUUGGACUUGUUCCCAGGGACAUGAAUGGUGGUAUUCCAGUUAGUUCUGCAAAUUCCUCUGGGCCAAGUAUUGGUGUUAGCUCUUUGGUGACCGAUGGCAACUCAUCACUCUCUGGAGGUGCCCAGUUUCAGCAUAGUACGAGCAUGAAUGCUGACUCAUUCAUGCGCCUUCCUUCCUCACCAAUGUCAUUUUCAUCCAAUAACAUAUCUGGCUCGUCCGUCAUUGAUGGGUCCACCAUGCAGCAAAGUCCACCCCAAGAGCAGAUGCAGAAACGGAGAUCAUCUAGUGCAACAUCACAACCUGGAAUUGAGGCUGAUGGUGCAUUUCAUGGUCAGAAGAAGCCAAGGGUUGAUAUUAGGCAAGAUGAUAUCCUGCAACAGCACUUGAUUCAGCAGCUGCUCCAAGGUCAGAGUUCUCUUCAUUUCCAGGGCCAACAUAACCCACAGCUUCAAGCAUUAAUCCGGCAGCAGAAACUGGCACAUAUUCAGCAGCUACAGCAGCAUCAGUUGUCGCAACAAUUUCCUCAGAUUCAGCAAUCUCAAGUUGGCAUACCUCGACAGCCGCAGUUGAGGCCGCCGCUAGCACAGCCUGGGAUGCAACUACCUGGGCCUGUUAGGACUCCUGUCGAGAGCGGGCUUUGUUCUCGAAGGUUAAUGCAGUAUUUGUAUCAUAAGCGUCAGCGUCCAGAGAAUAAUCCCAUAACAUACUGGAGGAAGCUUAUUGAUGAAUAUUUUGCACCACGAGCAAGAGAAAGAUGGUGUGUGUCAUCAUAUGAAAAAAGAGGGAAUUCUCCAAUUGCUAUUCCGACAGCUCAGGAUACAUGGCGUUGUGAUAUUUGUAAUACACAUACUGGGAAAGGAUAUGGUAAUCCUUCUCCAUGGCUGCUUCUGGAAGAUGAAUGCUGUUUUCUUAUGGGAUUAUUCUGUAAUAAUCACCAAAUUCAGUAUUCUUGUAGUUCGUGCGAAAACAAGGCUACCUACGAAAUACUUCCUAGACUCUGUCAAAUUCGAUUUGACCAUGGUGUUGUAGAUGAAUAUCUAUUCCUUGACGUGCCCAAUGAAUUCCGGUUGCCCAAUGGAUUACUUCUCCUGGAGCAUACCAAAGUUGUUCAGAAGAGCAUCUAUGAUCAUCUACAUGUUACGCACGAGGGGCAACUGAGAAUAAUAUUUACUCCGGAACUAAAGAUUAUGUCUUGGGAGUUCUGUUCACGACGGCAUGACGAGUAUAUCACUCGCAGGUUUCUAGCACCACAGGUUAAUCAUCUGCUGCAAAUUGCCCAGAAGUAUCAAGCUGCUGCCAAUGAAAGUGGGCCUGCUGGGGUAUCGACCAAUGAUGCACAAGCCAUUUGCAACAUGUUUGCGUCAGCAUCACAACAACUAGCGAAAAAUCUAGACCACCACAGCUUAAAUGAACAUGGGCUUUCUAAAAGAUACGUUCGGUGCUUGCAGAUAUCAGAGGUGGUGAAUAACAUGAAGGACUUGAUUGAUUUCAGCCACAAGAACAAGCUUGGCCCUAUAGAGAGCCUGAAGAACUAUCCCAGACAAAACGGGCCAAAGCUUACAAUGCAGAACAUGCAUGAGGCAAAGGGGGCCAACACAGAAAUUAGCACCCAUGGGAAUAACGAGGCCCCAGGUGUCGGAACCGUUAGUAGCAGUCUGCAGAAUGCCGUGGCACAAAAUAACUACCAGAGUAUGCUGAGAAGCUCAAGUGCAAACCAGGGUUUGCUUCAGCAGGAGGCGUCACAGAAUGCCGCAGCACUAAACAAUUACCAGAGUAUGCUUAGAAGCUCAAGCGCAAACCAGGGUUUGCUUCAGCAGGAGGCGUCCCAGAAUGCCGCAGCACUAAACAAUUACCAGAACAUGCUUAGAAGCUCAAGCGCAAACCAGCUUCAGCAGGAGGCAUCGCAGAACGCUGCGGCGCUGAACAAUUACCAGACCAUGCUCAGGAGCUCGAGCGCGAACCAGAGCUUGCUUCAGCACGAGGCAUCAAGUAUGUUUAAAGGUCCUACAGGAAUGCACAAUGGCGUUCAGCUGGAAGUGUCCAGAUCCUUCCGUGCGGGUCAGCUUGGGCAGUUCCAGCAGCAUCCCAUGUCGUUUCAGCAAGCCAUGCCCCAGCAUCAGCAGAACAGUUUCGGGGCUGGUGCGAGCACACAGUACCAGCAGCACCUUAUCCAGCAGCUGCUGCAAGAAGCCAAGAGUAGCAACAGCCGUGUAAUGGCGCAGCAGCAGCAGCAGCCUCCUAGCGUGUCGGGACCCGUGAUCACCAACAACCCUGCUAGUGGAGACCAGGCACAUCAGAUGAAUAACGGAGCCGUGAAGGGUGCCGCUCCAACGGGUACGACAGGGCCCAGCAAUCUGAUCAACAGUGGAGUCGGCAUCGUCCAACGAUGCAGCAGUUUCAAGUCAGUGAGCAGCAACCCGGCUGCCGGCGUGGCUGCUUCCGGCGGCAACCCAGCGAGUCCCAAGCCGGCGGAGUCCAUGCAUGAGGAGGACGAGCUCGACCAUCUCAUCAGCAGCGAACUCGCGGAGAGCGGGCUGUUCAUGGGGGAGCAGCAGGGUGGCGGCGCGUACUCGUGGAACAUGUGA
RNAcentral lists this ribosomal RNA (2610 nucleotides) under Triticum aestivum (bread wheat). RNAcentral describes it as "partial small subunit ribosomal RNA". Lineage: Eukaryota; Viridiplantae; Streptophyta; Magnoliopsida; Poales; Poaceae. The record is from RNAcentral.